RNAcentral lists this long non-coding RNA (912 nucleotides) under Homo sapiens (human). RNAcentral describes it as "non-protein coding LINC00460:2". Lineage: Eukaryota; Metazoa; Chordata; Mammalia; Primates; Hominidae. The record is from RNAcentral.
ACUUCCUGCAGAAAUCCUCCAGCCCUGUUAGAAAUGCCUCAGCCAGGGGGACUCAUCUCCUCAAACCUGGGGGACCGAGACCUAUGAGAGGUCACAGCAUGAGCCAGGACAUCGGAGGUACCCAGACAUUGUUAUGAAACUCCGCAUGUGCCCCUGGUGGACGCUGCUGGACCCAGCAUGCACACUUCUCGGCUAAGAGUCACCCUGGAUGAACCACCAUUGCCAGCGGGGAGCAUGUUGCAGCUUUCCCACGCAGUGGAUGAGAACGAAGGUUACGACCAUUGUGUGGGAGGCGUCUGUGUAGCAAUUGCUGGAAUCACUUGUGGCAUUGUAGAAAGACUGAGCGUGGGAAAGAAGACGCAUUCUGAAGUCACCCCGAUUUAUGUUAAAUUAUCACCUUGACUACUGCUAUAGAACGAAUGUUUAUGUCCCCCACCCAAAUUCGUAUGCUAAGACCUAAUAGCCAAUAAGAUAGUAUUAAUAGAUGGGGCCUUUGGGAGGUGAGUGGCUCAUGAGGGCAGAGUCCUCAAAACCAGAUAAGUGCCCGAAUAAAAGGGGCCCCAGAGAGAUCCCUUGCACCGUCUACCAUGUGAAGUGUAGAACACAGCGAGAAGGCCACCUAUGAGCCAGAACGUGGGCCCUCACCAGAACCCAGUUGUGCUGGCACCCUGAUCCUGGACUUCCAGCCUCCAAAAUGACGACAAAGAAGUUUGUUUUUCCUGAGCCAUCCACUUCAAAGUAUUCUGUCAUAGCUCCCCAAAUAGACUAAGACAUCUACUUAACCUUGGUCAAACGUUUAACCUUGGAGUCCACGCCUCUGAAAUGGUGACAAUAACACUGUGUAUUUCCUACUUUAUGAUCAGGAUUAAUAAAUGUAAUUUAUUAAUCAGAAAUUAGUAAUUUCUGAUUAUU